Molecule: ribosomal RNA, 627 nt
Filed under: uncultured Russulaceae
Lineage: Eukaryota; Fungi; Basidiomycota; Agaricomycetes; Russulales; Russulaceae
Description: LSU rRNA
Rfam family: Eukaryotic large subunit ribosomal RNA
Source: RNAcentral
UAAGCGGAGGAAAAGAAACUAACAAGGAUUCCCCUAGUAACUGCGAGUGAAGCGGGAAAAGCUCAAAUUUAAAAUCUGGCGGUCUUUGGCCGUCCGAGUUGUAAUUUAGAGAAGCGUCUUCCGCGCUGGACCGUGCACAAGUCUCCUGGAAUGGAGCGUCAUAGAGGGUGAGAAUCCCGUCUUUGGCACGGAUGCCUGGUGCUUCUGUGAUGCGCUCUCGAAGAGUCGAGUUGUUUGGGAAUGCAGCUCAAAAUGGGUGGUGAACUCCAUCUAAAGCUAAAUAUUGGCGAGAGACCGAUAGCGAACAAGUACCGUGAGGGAAAGAUGAAAAGCACUUUGGAAAGAGAGUGAAACAGUACGUGAAAUUGUUGAAAGGGGAACGCUUGAAGUCAGUCGCGUCGACCGAGACUCAGCCUUGCCUUGGCUUGGUGUACUUCUCGGCCCGACGGGUCAGCAUCAAUUUUGCCCCUCGGAUAAUGGCAGGGGAAAGGUGGCACCUUUACGGGUGUGUUAUAGUCUCCUGUCGAAUGCGAGGGGUGGGAUUGAGGAACUCAGCGCGCACCUCAGUGUCGGGGCUUCGGCCCACGUCACGCGCUUAGGAUGCUGGCGUAAUGGCUUUAAACGACC